Long non-coding RNA from Gorilla gorilla gorilla (western lowland gorilla), 880 nucleotides. RefSeq lists it as uncharacterized. The record is from RefSeq and is a predicted model, not a curated record. Lineage: Eukaryota; Metazoa; Chordata; Mammalia; Primates; Hominidae. The transcript has 3 exons.
GUCACAACCCGCAGUUUGGAAACAGCUGGAUGGACCCCCACCUGUGCUUUCCAGCUUCUCCUAGAGCCUCAGGGCCCCAGGAAGGCAGUGUGGUCUCUGCAACCAGCUUCUAGAGACUUCUAGCAUACUUUGGCUUGUGGCAUCUUCCAUCUUCAAAGCCUACAGCAGUCAACUGAGUCCUUCUCACAUCACAUCUCCUCUUCUGACUCUCACGCUCCCUCUUCCACUUCAAAGGGUCCUUCCUUGUGACAAUGCUGGAUCACUCCUUACUUUAAGGUCCUCUCCUGGGAGAAACACUUCAACUUUUGCAAAAGAUUCAUUAAUUCAUCACCAUGGCACCCAGAAAAAAAAAAUGCAAAAGAGAAGACUCAAGUUGUGGCUGACCCAAGGUGGCUGCAAACUGUUUGAGAUUUUCCUCGUUGAGAGGUAGGGGUCUAAGUUCCCUCCCUUGAACCUAGGCAGGCCCUCUGACUGCCUAACCAACAGAAAUAGCAUGGAAGUGACACUGUACCGGUUUUUGAGGCUAAGCCUGAAGAGACUGGCAGUUCCCACUUCCUGUCGUCUGGGAAUAAUUGUUCUUCAAACCUAAGUGCUAUGCUGUGAGGAAGCCAAGCAGCCUCGUUGACAGGCCCACAUGGAGCGGAACCAAACCCUGGCCAGCAGCCCCUGCUGCACCCCUAGCUGACAGCCAGGUUCGACUUGUCUUGCAUACCAGUAUGUCAUCUUGGAUGAGGAUCCCCCAGCCCUAGUAGGGCCAUCUCAGCUGAUGCUCCAAGGAGCAGAGAUGAGCCAUCCCCACCAAGCCCUGCAAGAAAGACUGCCAACUAAUCAGGAGGAAGACUUGCAAGUUGGGUUGGGUAUACUGAAGUGUAAACAUGUA